This 267-nucleotide ribosomal RNA is filed under the name uncultured bacterium. RNAcentral's name for it is "partial 16S ribosomal RNA". It matches the Rfam family "Bacterial small subunit ribosomal RNA", at positions 334 to 600 of the family's 1533-position model. The record is from RNAcentral.
GACCUACGGGGGGCAGCAGUGAGGAAUAUUGGUCAAUGGGAGGAAUCCUGAACCAGCCAUGCCGCGUGCAGGACGACGGCUCUACGAGGUGUAAACUGCUUUUGUACCGGGGUAAAAUGCCUUACGAGUAGGGUUUUGAAAGUACGGUACGAAUAAGGAUCGGCUAACUACGUGCCAGCAGCCGCGGUAAUACGUAGGGGGCUAGCGUUAUCCGGAAUUAUUGGGCGUAAAGGGUGCGUAGGGGGUUUCUUAAGUCAGAGGUGAAAG